RNAcentral lists this ribosomal RNA (403 nucleotides) under uncultured bacterium. Its description in RNAcentral is "partial 16S ribosomal RNA". It matches the Rfam family "Bacterial small subunit ribosomal RNA", at positions 30 to 526 of the family's 1533-position model. The record is from RNAcentral.
AUUGAACGCUGGCGGCAGGCCUAACACAUGCAAGUCGAGCGAGCGGCGGACGGGUGAGUAAUGUAUGGGGACUGCCCGAUAGAGGGGGAUAACUACUGGAAACGGUGGCUAAUACCGCAUACUAUCGGAGAACCCAUAAGGGAUAAGCUAGUAGGUGGGGUAAAGGCUCACCUAGGCGACGAUCUCUAGCUGGGCCGAGAGGAUGGUCGUCCACACUGGGACUGAGACACGGCCCGGACUCCUACGGAGGCAGCAGUGGGGAAUAUUGCACAAGGGGCGCAAGCCUGAUACAGCCAUGCCGCGUGUAUGAAGAAGGCCUUAGGGUUUUAAAGUACUUUCAGCGGGGAGGCGUUACCCGCAGAAGAAGCACCGGCUAACUCCGUGCCAGCAGCCGCGGUAAUUC